AGAAUUGCUUUUUGAAUAAUCAUUUGUUAUUAUAGCUUGCCUUUAGGGGCUAUGGUGAUAAACGCUGCUUGUAAUAGGAGAGGCGGACCCGGGGGCGGUACCCGGCGCCUCCACCACUUUUUUGAGGGGGCGAAAUAGGAUCGACGUGCUUUGAAAGAAGUUGCUUUUACCCGGUAUGAUUCCGCCGGAUCUUCGGAUCUUGGGUCAAAAACAAUAAAUGCAAACGAUAAUAAUCGUCUUGCAGUUGCUGCAUAGUUAGCAACUACGCGGUUAGGGGGCUUUCCGGGCAACAGAAUAAGCCCUGU
Molecule: transfer-messenger RNA, 305 nt
Filed under: Rickettsiaceae bacterium
Lineage: Bacteria; Pseudomonadati; Pseudomonadota; Alphaproteobacteria; Rickettsiales; Rickettsiaceae
Rfam family: Alphaproteobacteria transfer-messenger RNA
About the family: Bacterial tmRNA, also known as 10Sa RNA or SsrA, is named for its dual tRNA and mRNA-like properties. Its role is to liberate the mRNA from a stalled ribosome. To accomplish this part of the tmRNA is used as a reading frame that ends in a translation stop signal.
Source: RNAcentral